AAUAGCACACGGUCAACUCAACCUUUGGUACUGUUUACUUCAUGCGCUGAAAUAAAACCACCUGCUCCAAUCUUGGUGUAGUCCAUGCUUAAGUUCUCAUGAAAUUGAUCAUGUUUGCCUCCAAUCUACAAACUUCAAAGAAACUACCAUGAUAAACCAUAGAGGUGUUAAGUAUAAAUUGAAGUGAUACAAACUAAAAUAGUAGAUAUACCAGUCAGUUUAUUCACAAAAAAGUCAACUAGAUACAUUCCUAAUCCACCCCAAUGGAAGGGAUAGCACAAAUCAUGAAAUUUCAUAUAUAGAAAUAAAAAAUCUAGAAGCCAUGUUUUGAAUUAGUUAACCACGUCAUCUAUUACCCACCAGUACAUCAUCCACGACCAUGUCAUCUAUGCUUCCAAAUAGACAAAAGUAAAACUAAGCUUUUCUGAUCUGAAGCCCUAGAAAUAGCUGAUAUUUGCUUAAUUAGAACUCAGGAUCCAAUCCAAUCUAGUGGGCGAACUAUUGCACUGCUCCACACACAUUCAUGUACAACCUAUGGAUGCGCACGUAGGAAGCGACACAAUUGGGGAUGUUUACUUUGUGGGGAUCAUUGUCUUGUUGUUAAUCAUACGACCCCAAAUAAAUUAUAUGUCUAUCUAGUGGUUAGAAAUAAUAAUAAUCAAAUCUAGCAUUUGCAUGGUCGGCUGUACCACCUGAAUCACCUUUGAUGAAAUCAUCUAAAUAUAUUCAGAUAGAAAAAAAAUCUAGCCACUUCAUGCUCGAUCAUAACCAAGAAAAAGAUGUCCAUGGAUCUGUUAUUUGGUAUUAACAGAUGCACGUACAAAUAUAUUGUGCUCAGGUCAAUGAGACAGAUUAGGGCAUGUACAUGAGAUAGAUAAAAGAGAGAAGCAAAGGCAUAGAUUAGCAAUCUGGAGACCAAGAUGUGGCAGCAUUAUUAGGAAAAUUGUAGAGCAUGCUGCUGGGGAGCGGGAACUUACCUGAUAUACGUGAGAUUCAUCGCGGGGGACUGGGGCAGAGCAUAGGAUGCGCAAAAGCUAUUAGGGCCCAUGGUUGCAUGAUGUUGGUGUACAUGCCUAUGAAUUUCGUCCACCGCGAGACAUGCGACCCUUGCGUUGGGCAUGGGCGAUUCUCAUCCCCGUGUUGGCAUUAGGUUGGCUUUAGGAAAUCAAUCAAGGCUGAUUGGAACUCAUCACUGCUAUGCAUGCCCAGCCGGCAAGCAGGAAGAAAAGGUGAGCAUCUAACGAUGACGCGUCGGUUAGCAGGAUC
Molecule: long non-coding RNA, 1266 nt
Filed under: Hordeum vulgare
Lineage: Eukaryota; Viridiplantae; Streptophyta; Magnoliopsida; Poales; Poaceae
Description: long non-coding RNA (HVUL_LNC018393)
Source: RNAcentral